This 440-nucleotide ribosomal RNA is filed under the name uncultured bacterium. RNAcentral's name for it is "partial 16S ribosomal RNA". It matches the Rfam family "Bacterial small subunit ribosomal RNA", at positions 338 to 795 of the family's 1533-position model. The record is from RNAcentral.
CCUACGGGGGGCAGCAGUAGGGAAUAUUGCUCAAUGGGGGAAACCCUGAAGCAGCAACGCCGCGUGGAGGAUGAAGGUUUUAGGAUUGUAAACUCCUUUUGUUAGAGAAGAUUAUGACGGUAUCUAACGAAUAACCACUGGCUAAUUCCUUGCCAGCAGCCGCGGUAAUACGGAGGGUGCAAGCGUUACUCGGAAUCACUGGGCGUAAAGCGUGCGUAGGGGGGGUAAUAAGUCAGAUGUGAAUUCCUGUAGCUUAACCACAGAACUGCAGUUGAAACUGUUACUCUGGAGUGUGGGAGAGGUAGGUGGAAUGCUUGGUGUAGCGGUGAAAUCCGUAGAGAUCAAGAGGAAUACUCAUUGCGAAGGCGACCUGCUGGAACCUAACUGACGCUGAUGCACGAAAGCGUGGGGAGCAAACAGGAUUAGAUACCCUAGUAGUC